This 1469-nucleotide long non-coding RNA is filed under the name Homo sapiens (human). RNAcentral's name for it is "HSALNT0366255". The record is from RNAcentral. Lineage: Eukaryota; Metazoa; Chordata; Mammalia; Primates; Hominidae.
GCCAACAUCCCCUGAGCUGUUGAUGCCCUGUGAAAUCUCUGUGAAAUCUCUUUCUCGCUGAUCCUACACAUUUGGAAAGUGCUGUCAUGACAAUUAUUACUCACAAAGUUCUCUUGCUGAGGGAGGAUGGUCACUUGGCAUGUAUUAUUCUCCCCAUUUUACAGACAUGGAAACUGAGACCCACAGAGAUCCUGGUGGUGUAGUUUGAAGCUGCUGGAAUUCUCCAAGCUGCUCUCCCUGCCUUUUAGGCUGUUUCUCCUAGUGGUGCCGGUGACACAAAGAGCUGUUCUUAUCCUCUCCUGUCCUGAGUUAUUAUGCAAUAUUUGGAAAUGAAGGAAAGGAAACUGCUCUUGGAAACCCUGAAAUGAACACACAAUGCAUCAGAGCCAAGCCUGCAAUCACUCAAGAAAGAAUGAUUCUCGAGGCAUCGAGUCCCCCCUGGAAGUUAAUUGAAAGGCUGUCUACAGAAAAGAUGGUCAGUCCUAAGGGAGAGGUAGGUCAGUAACGAAAACACAGAAAAGGAGAGUCCUAGAGAAAACCCAGAGCCCUGACCUGGAGGAAGAGGACCUUGGUCCUAAAGGUGCCUGUGUAUUUUUUGUGGAGAUGGGCACUCAAAUUAUCAUCACCUGAUAUGAUUAUGCAUUUUAAUUUUCCAACUAACCUCGGUGUUUUCACUCUGUACUCAGCGAGCAGCCAUGUGACUGUAAGCUGGCUUCCCAAGUACUUGGUCCUCAAGGAGAGAAUGGGUGUUAUCCCCUCAGCAGUUCCAUUCUGAUGUCCACAGCUGGCUGGUAGGGUGAGUCAGCAUCCCCCCCAGCAGUCCCAUUCACCCUGGGCCACUGCUGGGACCCAGCAUUUGAACAGUAGGACAGAGGGCUGCAGGCUGGCCUAAGUCACACCACAGUGAGCUGGUCUUCCCAGGAAGCUCCCAGCCUUCCCGUUCUAUGGCACUGUCAGACUGUACCUCUUUAUUUCAAAACACAUCAGAAUACAUCAAAGCCCUGACUGUUAGGUAAGUAUUACUAUGCCCACUUUUAUAAGCAAGGAAAUAGAGAUUGCAAAGGGGUAAUUAACUUGCCCAAAGGCGCUUAACUUCAUAAACCAGCCUGGAUUCCGCACCUAUUCUGACUCUAAAGCCUGUGUUCUUUCCCUUGACUUCAUGCGGCCCCUGCCUUCAAGGACUUUCCUCUCCAGUGUAUCUUUAAGUAAGAAAGCGUGUGUGGGAGGUGAGGUGCGGGAGAGGGACGAGAAUGCUCCCCUGCCUGAAGCUCCCCUCUGUGACUAAGAACCCAGUUUGUAAUCUCUUCUUCACUUUUUUUUUUCUUUUGAGACGGCGUCUCGCUCUGUCGCCCAGGCUGGAGUGCAGUGGCGCGAUCUCGGCUCACUGCGACCUCCGCCUCCCGGGUUCAGGCAAUUCUGCCUCAGCCUCCCGAGUAGCUGGGAUUACAGGCAUGCGCCACCACACCCGG